RNAcentral lists this ribosomal RNA (253 nucleotides) under uncultured bacterium. Its description in RNAcentral is "partial 16S ribosomal RNA". It matches the Rfam family "Bacterial small subunit ribosomal RNA", at positions 524 to 776 of the family's 1533-position model. The record is from RNAcentral.
UACGUAGGGUGCGAGCGUUAAUCGGAAUUACUGGGCGUAAAGGGUGCGCAGGCGGCGUCGCAAGUCAGGCGUGAAAUCCCCGGGCUUAACCUGGGAACCGCACUUGAAACUACGAUGCUGGAGUAUGGCAGAGGGAGGUGGAAUUCCACGUGUAGCGGUGAAAUGCGUAGAGAUGUGGAGGAACACCGAUGGCGAAGGCAGCCUCCUGGGCCAAUACUGACGCUCAUGCACGAAAGCGUGGGGAGCAAACAGG